Non-coding RNA from Arabis alpina (gray rockcress), 83 nucleotides. The record is from Rfam. NCBI's taxonomy places the organism in Eukaryota, Viridiplantae, Streptophyta, Magnoliopsida, Brassicales, Brassicaceae.
AAGACUGUACUUCACAGGAUCAUUUCUGUAGUGCGUCUUCACUUCUCUCUACUCAACGGUAGAGUCAAUGAAACUGCGAGGAU